This 451-nucleotide ribosomal RNA is filed under the name uncultured bacterium. RNAcentral describes it as "bacterial SSU rRNA". It matches the Rfam family "Bacterial small subunit ribosomal RNA", at positions 340 to 786 of the family's 1533-position model. The record is from RNAcentral.
UACGGGAGGCAGCAGGGGGAAUAUUGCACAAUGGGCGCAAGCCUGAUGCAGCCAUGCCGCGUGUAUGAAAAAGGCCUUCGGGUUGUAAAGUACUUUCAGUCGUGAGGAAGGUGUUAAGGUUAAUAACCUUAGCAAUUGACGUUAGCGACAGAAGAAGCACCGGCUAACUCCGUGCCAGCAGCCGCGGUAAUACGGAGGGUGCGAGCGUUAAUCGGAAUUACUGGGCGUAAAGGGCACGCAGGCGGUUAAUUAAGUUGGAUGUGAAAUCCCCGGGCUUAACCUGGGAAUGGCAUUCAAGACUGGUUAGCUAGAGUCUUGUAGAGGGGGUAGAAUUCCAUGUGUAGCGGUGAAAUGCGUAGAGAUGUGGAGGAAUACCGGUGGCGAAGGCGGCCCCUGGCAAAGACUGACGCUCAUGUGCGAAAGCGUGGGGAGCAAACAGGGAUUAGAUACC